Molecule: ribosomal RNA, 253 nt
Filed under: uncultured bacterium
Lineage: Bacteria
Description: partial 16S ribosomal RNA
Rfam family: Bacterial small subunit ribosomal RNA
Source: RNAcentral
UACGGGGGGGGUAAGCGUUGUUCGGAAUUACUGGGCGUAAAGGGCUCGUAGGCGGCCAACUAAGUCGGACGUGAAAUCCCUCAGCUUAACUGGGGAACUGCGUCCGAUACUGGAUGGCUUGGAUUUGGGAGAGGGAUGCGGAAUUCCAGGUGUAGCGGUGAAAUGCGUAGAUAUCUGGAGGAACACCGGUGGCGAAGGCGGAUUUCUGGGCCAUUACUGACGCUGAGGAGCGAAAGCGUGGGGAGCGAACAGG